Molecule: ribosomal RNA, 577 nt
Filed under: uncultured bacterium
Lineage: Bacteria
Description: partial 16S ribosomal RNA
Rfam family: Bacterial small subunit ribosomal RNA
Source: RNAcentral
UGGGGAAUAUUGCACAAUGGGCGCAAGCCUGAUGCAGCCAUGCCGCGUGUGUGAAGAAGGCCUUCGGGUUGUAAAGCACUUUCAGCGAGGAGGAAGGUGGUGAGCUUAAUACGCUCAUCAAUUGACGUUACUCGCAGAAGAAGCACCGGCUAACUCCGUGCCAGCAGCCGCGGUAAUACGGGAGGGUGCAAGCGUUAAUCGGAAUUACUGGGCGUAAAGCGCACGCAGGCGGUUUGUUAAGUCAGAUGUGAAAUCCCCGGGCUCAACCUGGGAACUGCAUUUGAAACUGGCAAGCUAGAGUCUCGUAGAGGGGGGUAGAAUUCCAGGUGUAGCGGUGAAAUGCGUAGAGAUCUGGAGGAAUACCGGUGGCGAAGGCGGCCCCCUGGACGAAGACUGACGCUCAGGUGCGAAAGCGUGGGGCAGCAAACAGGAUUAGAUACCCUGGUAGUCCAGCGCUGUAAACGAUGUCGAUUUGGAGGUUGUGCCCUUGAGGCGUGGCUUCCGGAGCUAACGCGUUAAAGUCGACCGCCUGGGGAGUACGGCCGCAAGGUUAAAACUCAAAUGAAUUGACGGGGUC